GAUGAAGAAGUAGCGAAAUGCGAUAAGUAAUGUGAAUUGCAGAAUUCAGUGAAUCAUCGAAUCUUUGAACGCACAUUGCGCUCGCCAGUAUUCUGGCGAGCAUGCCUGUUCGAGCGUCAUUUCAACCAUCAAGCUCUGCUUGCGUUGGGGAUCCGCGGCUGCCCGCGGUCCCUCAAAAACAGUGGCGGGCUCGCUAGUCACACCGAGCGUAGUAACUCUACAUCGUUCUGGUCGUGCGGCGGGUUCUUGCCGUAAAACCCCCCAAUUUCUAAGGUUGACCUCGGAUCAGGUAGGAAUACCCGCUGAACUUAAGCAUAUCAAUAAGCGGAGGA
Molecule: unclassified non-coding RNA, 332 nt
Filed under: soil metagenome
Description: partial contains 5.8S ribosomal RNA, internal transcribed spacer 2, and large subunit ribosomal RNA
Rfam family: 5.8S ribosomal RNA (bases 1-119)
Source: RNAcentral